Molecule: microRNA precursor, 78 nt
Filed under: Podarcis lilfordi (Lilford's wall lizard)
Lineage: Eukaryota; Metazoa; Chordata; Lepidosauria; Squamata; Lacertidae
Source: RNAcentral
UGUGUGUGUGUGUGUGUGUGUGUGUGUGUACGCGCACGCACGCGCGCGCACACACACACAGAAACAUGCACACACACA